This 458-nucleotide ribosomal RNA is filed under the name Algyroides moreoticus. Its description in RNAcentral is "partial 12S ribosomal RNA". It matches the Rfam family "Bacterial small subunit ribosomal RNA", at positions 794 to 1482 of the family's 1533-position model. The record is from RNAcentral. Lineage: Eukaryota; Metazoa; Chordata; Lepidosauria; Squamata; Lacertidae.
GCUAAGCCCUAAACAUUGAUGGCUAUCAAUACAAAACCAUCCGCCAGAGAACUACAAGUGAAAAACUUAAAACUCAAAGGACUUGACGGUGUCCCAUACCGACCUAGAGGAGCCUGUCCUAUAAUCGAUACCCCCCGUUCCACCCAACCUCAACUAGCAAAAACAGCCUAUAUACCGCCGUCGACCAGCCUACCCCAUGAGGGUUUAACAGUAGACACAAUAGCCCCCCCGCUAAUACGUCAGGUCAAGGUGUAGCAAAUGUUGAGGAAGAGAUUGGCGACAUUUUUUAUGAUAAAAAAUACGAAAAGCACUAUGAAAUCGUGCAUGAAGGUGAAUUUAGUAGUAAAAUAAACAAGAGAGUUUAUUUAACAACGCUCUGGGACGCGUACACACCGCCCGUCACCCUCCUCAACAACAAAAAUAUCUUUAAUAAAAUAAAAAAGAAAACCAGAGGAGGC